UACAGAGGUCUCAAGCGUUGUUCGGAUUCAUUGGGCGUAAAGGGUGUGUAGGUGGCGCCGUAAGUCGGGUGUGAAAUUUCGGAGCUUAACUCCGAAACUGCAUUCGAUACUGCGGUGCUUGAGGACUGGAGAGGAGACUGGAAUUCAUGGUGUAGCAGUGAAAUGCGUAGAGAUCAUGAGGAAUACCGAUGGCGAAGGCAGGUCUCUGGGCUGACACUGACGCUCAUGCACGAAAGCGUGGGGAGCAAACAGG
This 253-nucleotide ribosomal RNA is filed under the name uncultured bacterium. Its description in RNAcentral is "partial 16S ribosomal RNA". It matches the Rfam family "Bacterial small subunit ribosomal RNA", at positions 524 to 776 of the family's 1533-position model. The record is from RNAcentral.